This is a non-coding RNA of Nematostella vectensis (starlet sea anemone), 74 nucleotides long. The record is from Rfam. NCBI's taxonomy places the organism in Eukaryota, Metazoa, Cnidaria, Anthozoa, Actiniaria, Edwardsiidae.
GUUUCUCUGGCGCAAUCGGUUAGCGCGUUCGGCUGUUAACCGAAAGGUUGGUGGUUCAAGCCCACGAAGGGACG